CAUUAAUGAUUGCGAAUGGUCGCCUUCGGUGCUGGCUUGUAAGAGCAAGUGCACGUUGGCGGCUUUCAUCCAAAUACCCUUGUGAACCUUUGGCCUCUUGCUAGCUUCGGCUGGCAGAGGAUUUUUAUACACACUCGAAUGUAAUGAAAACUAUUGUCGUGCGCAAGCACUAAUGUACAACUUUCAACAACGGAUCUCUUGGCUCUCGCAUCGAUGAAGAACGCAGCGAAAUGCGAUAAGUAAUGUGAAUUGCAGAAUUCAGUGAAUCAUCGAAUCUUUGAACGCACCUUGCACCCUUUGGCAUUCCGAAGGGUAUGCUCGUUUGAGUGUCAUUGUACUCUCACACUCUCUGAUCCUCUGGAUUCGGGA
RNAcentral lists this unclassified non-coding RNA (369 nucleotides) under uncultured fungus. Its description in RNAcentral is "sequence contains ITS1, 5.8S rRNA gene, ITS2". The stretch from base 179 to 332 matches the Rfam family "5.8S ribosomal RNA". The record is from RNAcentral. Lineage: Eukaryota; Fungi.